GCCUGGGGCAGAGGUGCGUGCCUGCAGUCCCAGCUACUCGGGAGGCUGAGGCGGGAGGAUUGCUUGAGCCCAGUUCUGCGCUGUGCCGAUCAGGUGUCUGCACUAAAUUCAGCAUCAAUAUGGUGACCUCCCAGGAGCGGGAGACCACCAGGUUGCCUAAGGAGGGGUGAACCGGCCCAGGUCGGAAACAGAGCAGGUCAAAACUCCUGUGCUGAUCAGUAGUGGGAUCGCGCCUGUGAAUAGUCACUGCACUCCAGCCUGGGCAACAUAGCGAGACCCCGUCUCUA
Molecule: signal recognition particle RNA, 287 nt
Filed under: Callithrix jacchus (white-tufted-ear marmoset)
Lineage: Eukaryota; Metazoa; Chordata; Mammalia; Primates; Cebidae
Description: Metazoan signal recognition particle RNA (ENSCJAG00000075084.1)
Rfam family: Metazoan signal recognition particle RNA
About the family: The signal recognition particle (SRP) is a universally conserved ribonucleoprotein. It is involved in the co-translational targeting of proteins to membranes.
Source: Rfam by way of RNAcentral